AUCGUCAUGCUGGCAUCUGAGGAAGUGGAAGGCCACAAAGAGAAGGAAUUGAGGAGUUUGGAUAUCUUCCAUCAUAACUAGAAGUAAAAAGCUGAAAACUGAAAGUCAGCAGCUCUUCUUGAAUCUUGAGAUAACAUGUCAAGCCACUGCCCUACAAAGUAAAGGUAGACAAGUAGAUGCAGAGGUUCCCAGUUCCUGUGAACAGAAACCUCAAUGUCAGCCCUAGCCAGGAUCCAAAUGUGUAACUGAUAAAGGGCUAGAGGCUCGAUGGAUAAAGAACACAGAUGAGAUGCCUGGUAGAGUGACAACCACAGAAUGGCUAUGCAACAACGAAUUACUGAAAUUAAAGAAUCAGAGCUAGAAUUUAACACAUGGGAAUUGUGCUUGCAAGUGAAUGCAGGAAGGUUAAUGGUGAACACGAGAAAGCAGCCCAGACGGUCACUGUUUUGUCCUUCAUAGUGCUCAUUAGUGUGUGAGAAAUCUGUGUCAGAGACCUGAGGACCUGAGAGGACAGCAUCGGUUCAAAAUCUGGGAACUGUCCCAAGCAUGUGUUAGGAUGCAAAUUAAUUUGAGCCUUGUUUCCCCUGCUCUUGCCACUGGGAGCACAUUGGGUGGGAAGGUUAAUUCAGUGCAGCCUUAUCUCCCGUGGGCACUGCUGGGGAGCCUUGGAAUCAUUUUGUUUCUCAUCUCUGAAAAUGGAAUGUGCUUUGCCACACUGAUGAGUAGGGGAGGAAAGAGGUCAACCUGGAGAGAUUAGGAUGCUUACCAAGGCUCCCUGUGCUGCAAGGGGUUAUUAAGGCUCCCUGUGCGAAGUGAGAGGCUGCGGUUAGUUGUAGUUCUGAGGAGCUGUGUGUGUAAGGCUUUCUGUGCAGCUGGAGGACAUUGCUGAAGUCCCCCUUCCCUGACUGCUGCUUCCAAAGAGAACAUCCACACAUGAGCAUGUAUCUGACACUGAAGACGACCAAGAUCAAGUUCAGCCAAAGGGGAACAAAAUGCAUACACUUUUCAAGC
RNAcentral lists this long non-coding RNA (1011 nucleotides) under Mus caroli (Ryukyu mouse). Its description in RNAcentral is "lncRNA (MGP_CAROLIEiJ_G0005489.1)". The record is from RNAcentral. Lineage: Eukaryota; Metazoa; Chordata; Mammalia; Rodentia; Muridae.